GUUUUGUCCUAUUUUCUCCUUUAUAAUCUUUUCGCACAGUCCAUGUAAUUUUUGUGUGUUCUGCUUUGUUCUUCAAAGCACAGAUUAAACCAUACUUCUCUUGAAACAGAUAAAUUCCAGCAGUAUUGGGUCCUAGAGCAACCCUCCAAUUUCACAGACCAGAGAGCCACAAAAAGAAAUAAAUACGGUUGAGCAGAGAUUUUAGUCUUGGGUUUUUGCAAGGUUAAAGUGGGAGAUGUAGCUGGGAGGAUGAGGACCGCAGGCUUCUGGGGAUGCCGCAGUGACUGGGAUGCCUGCCCGCCAAGUGCAGCUAGGAGCUCCACACAAUUCCUGCAGUGUUUUGGAAGUGACAAGGAGAGCUGGUGGGUGGCAUUGCUGAUGGGGUGCUGAUGGGGUACUUAUGGUCCUGGUCAGCCAGCGUUCAGUGUCCGGUUCCCACCCACAUGUGGGGUCUUCACAGGUUCCAUACCAGCACUCUCCUGGAGAGCCCACAGGCACGAACACAUCUUUCCAAUUAGAGGGGUUUUGUGCCUCUCGUUUUUAAGGAACAUUUUUAACAUUGUCAAAGUUGAGGCAACCGGAGCUUUCUUUGAUCCAGGGGCGAAGUCGACUCAGAUCUGCUUUGCCCAGUUUUAUUUAAAGACCAUGACUACCACUUCUGAAAUGUUACUUGCGAAUGCUAUGUUAUUACAUUAUCUGCUUUUCCAUCUGUUAAAUGCCAUGGUUCCAGCAGCAAAAAUACCACUGUCUGACUGUAGCAGCUGUCAAAGGUCUUAUUUAGUCAUCUUCAAGAAGUAGUAAAACCCGAUACCACCAAAGAUAAGCCAAGUUUUGUUACGAUAAAACUUUCUUUGGAUGUGAUGUUAGGAAUGUUACUAUUUAUAGUCACCCUGGCUUUUUAUUGCUGAAUAGGAGGGAGAUAGUACACAUCUAUAAUUUUAAGUAAAAUUAUUUGCUUAUUCCUGGUUUAAACACUGUCACGUUGUUGUUUAUAACCUGUGUACAAAUAUAUAGCCCUGUGUGUAAAUCUGGCCUUGGCAUUCUGCAUGGUUGUUCCCUAAAUCUAAAUGAUGGCACCUAUGACCAGGCUGCUUCACACAGGAUAAAGAAAUGUUGUUUGAGUCAAA
This is a long non-coding RNA of Pezoporus occidentalis (night parrot), 1127 nucleotides long. RefSeq lists it as uncharacterized. The transcript is spliced from 2 exons. NCBI's taxonomy places the organism in Eukaryota, Metazoa, Chordata, Aves, Psittaciformes, Psittacidae. The record is from RefSeq and is a predicted model, not a curated record.